AGCUCUUCGAAUCCGUAAAGAGAUUUCAUUAGACUCCAGACCAUCAAGACUGAUGAAACUCCUAAAAUGAGUGAGGCG
Molecule: non-coding RNA, 78 nt
Organism: Schistosoma haematobium
Lineage: Eukaryota; Metazoa; Platyhelminthes; Trematoda; Strigeidida; Schistosomatidae
Source: Rfam